This 417-nucleotide ribosomal RNA is filed under the name uncultured bacterium. RNAcentral describes it as "bacterial SSU rRNA". It matches the Rfam family "Bacterial small subunit ribosomal RNA", at positions 355 to 776 of the family's 1533-position model. The record is from RNAcentral.
UGGGGAAUCUUGCGCAAUGGGCGAAAGCCUGACGCAGCGACGCCGCGUGGGGGAUGAAGCUUCUCGGAGUGUAAACCCCUUUCGACCCGGACGAAUGACCCGCAAGGGUUUGACGGUACGGGUAUAAGAAGCCCCGGCUAACUACGUGCCAGCAGCCGCGGUAAGACGUAGGGGGCCAGCGUUGCUCGGAAUUACUGGGCGUAAAGGGUUCGUAGGCGGUGCGGUAAGUCGAGAGUAGAAUCUCCAGGCUCAACUUGGAGGCGCCUCCCGAAACUGCCGUGCUCGAGUGCUGGAGAGGCGAGUGGAAUUGCAGGUGUAGCGGUGAAAUGCGUAGAUAUCUGCAGGAACACCAGUGGCGAAGGCGGCUCGCUGGACAGCAACUGACGCUGAGGAACGAAAGCUAGGGGAGCAAACAGG